This 594-nucleotide ribosomal RNA is filed under the name Xanthomonas citri pv. citri. RNAcentral describes it as "partial 23S ribosomal RNA". It matches the Rfam family "Bacterial large subunit ribosomal RNA", at positions 1076 to 1671 of the family's 2925-position model. Lineage: Bacteria; Pseudomonadati; Pseudomonadota; Gammaproteobacteria; Lysobacterales; Lysobacteraceae. The record is from RNAcentral.
UGGGAAGGCCCAGACAGCCAGGAUGUUGGCUUAGAAGCAGCCAUCAUUUAAAGAAAGCGUAAUAGCUCACUGGUCGAGUCGGCCUGCGCGGAAGAUGUAACGGGGCUAAACCAUGCACCGAAGCUGCGGCAGCGACGCUUAUGCGUUGUUGGGUAGGGGAGCGUUCUGUAAGCCUGCGAAGGUGUGCUGUGAGGCAUGCUGGAGGUAUCAGAAGUGCGAAUGCUGACAUAAGUAACGAUAAAGCGGGUGAAAAGCCCGCUCGCCGGAAGACCAAGGGUUCCUGUCCAACGUUAAUCGGGGCAGGGUGAGUCGACCCCUAAGGCGAGGCCGAAAGGCGUAGUCGAUGGGAAACAGGUUAAUAUUCCUGUACUUGGUGUUACUGCGAAGGGGGGACGGAGAAGGCUAUGUUGGCCGGGCGACGGUUGUCCCGGUUUAAGCGUGUAGGCUGGUUUUCCAGGCAAAUCCGGAAAAUCAAGGCUGAGGCGUGAUGACGAGGCACUACGGUGCUGAAGCAACAAAUGCCCUGCUUCCAGGAAAAGCCUCUAAGCAUCAGGUAACAUCAAAUCGUACCCCAAACCGACACAGGUGGUCAGG